Molecule: long non-coding RNA, 1562 nt
Organism: Cygnus olor (mute swan)
Lineage: Eukaryota; Metazoa; Chordata; Aves; Anseriformes; Anatidae
Exons: 4
Source: RefSeq, a predicted model, not a curated record
CACAGAGGAGCUGCUGGGGGUGGCCGCAGUCCCUGCUCCCCAGCCCCGUGCUGAGACUGUGGCUGGCUGGCAAUUGAAGAGAAAAACACUUCCAGAUUAAAGAGAGAAGAAUCUCCCUGAACUGAACAAAUGUGUCACUUUUGAAUAAGGAUUCAUGAAAAGGCAGAGAAGGAGAAGAAAAAAAGAAUAAAGGACGAAAAAAAAAUGAAAGAUUUAGCUGUUGGAAUGUCUUUUGGUGAGCAUGAUGUUACACAAAUGCCAGGAUUUCUUUUGUUUUACCUUAAUCUAUUAUUUCACACUUUAUAAUUCUUAUGUAUGUUUACAUGAUGUUUUGUGGGGGAAUUCUCUUUGAACCACCUUCUUAUGUUUGAGUAGCUCCUCAGCCUUCUGCAUACCUGUGGUUUGUUCUUCCAUUUGUGGUGAUAUGGAAUGGGUUAGAGAAGAGGAUUGCCACAGGUGCUGGUCAAUAUGAUUGGUCAGAUGCAGUCCGAGAUGAAAAUGUAGGCACGUGAGAUAUGUUGUGUAGGGUGGUGGUUCAAGAAUUACAGCGAACAGUGUUUGAGCUACUUUCUUUAAGCUACCGUAGCAGACAUGUUUUAGAUGUGUCCAGUGCUUUGAUGUUAACUGAUGAAAGUUAGGAAAAGUUUUGCAACUAAUAUAGUAAGCUCUGCUGUACUGCAGCAGCCUGUUAGAGAGAGACCAGGAAUAACAGGAGCAGGGGGGUUCUUUGGCUGCAGCUGGACAGUACCGGCUGUGCUAUCUGGGCAGAGGUGGGAUGACUUUGUGAAUUUCAGCCAGUUGUGAGGAGCUUCAUACUGUAUGAAAAAUAAAUUCAUGCUGUUCACCUGCAAAAUGGAGGCAGAAGGGGUCUUUAAGUAGCAUACAGGGGUCUGCUAAUGAGCAAUAUUCUCUCUGGUAAGGUGAAAUAAAGAUUUCUGCCUAGAUGGCCGUAUAUUUUAGAUGAAAUAUUGCCCUCUGAGAAAUCACUAAGAGUUUUUCCUCUCUUUUGUCUUCCUCAGCAUUUUGAAAACCAAUGGGUAGUGAGUUUCACACUACAGUUGUGUUUCAUGAAAUAUCACAAGUUCUAAAAUUGUUCAUGUUAUUAUAUUUUUGUAAAUGAGCUAUUACUUUUGUUCUCAUAUUUCUUUUUACUUGAAGUAUUAUGUGCUGCUAUUACUAGUAUUCAAAUGUUAGAGUGGGCUCUUGUUAGCUCAUUUCCUGACUCUGUUGUUCUUAACACCUCAGCUGUAGAAUAUGAACUUUUUCAUUCAGUCUUUCAGCAUCUUGUAAUUUAUCCAUAAUGACAUUGUAAAAAUGCAGAGUGGUCUAAGUGUAUUACAAAUUUCUCCUAAAAUGUGUUUAUAUGUGUAGAAAUACGUGCACCUUUAUAAAAGAUUAAAUUCAAUAACAUUUAUAUAUAAUACUUCAUUACGCAUUGUAUUAUAUGGAAGAUUUAAUUAAAACCUAAGAAAAUUUAUUUGUAGAGCUAAAAAGUAUGAGUAUGUUCAAAUAGAUAUUGCAUGCAGUUAUCUGAGAAACAUAUUUGUUUAAUCUCUAUACGC